GUCCAGGAAUGGGAAACGAACCCACAGUGUUCCACUUAGGCAGAUGCCAAAACCAUUAGGCUACCCUGGA
Cordylochernes scorpioides is the source of this 70-nucleotide non-coding RNA. The record is from the annotation of a GenBank genome assembly. Lineage: Eukaryota; Metazoa; Arthropoda; Arachnida; Pseudoscorpiones; Chernetidae.